This 274-nucleotide long non-coding RNA is filed under the name Elaeis guineensis (African oil palm). RNAcentral's name for it is "long non-coding RNA (EGUI_LNC004403)". Lineage: Eukaryota; Viridiplantae; Streptophyta; Magnoliopsida; Arecales; Arecaceae. The record is from RNAcentral.
CAGAUUCCAAUAUUGAAUGAAAACAUAGUCGUACGCCCCUUUAGAACUUUCGAAGACAACCUCUUCGAAUUCUUUAGAAGUCUUAUAUAACUCAAUUGCCCUUGCCACCUUAUCUUGCUCCUAUUUGAGCUACAUUUUAAGCGCUUCAAUGGCUUUUCCAUGAGGUUCAUUGGCCUUCUCCAUCUCUUUAAGCCUCGACUUUAGUUCUUUAUUCUCCUCGGUUUAGGUGUAUAGCUCGAAAAUCUUCUUCUCUUAUUCAUUAUAUUUUCGCUGA